UUUCUUUUAAUUGAAUCCAGUUCAGUUAAUUUGAAUUUAAUUUAGUUUAAGUCUAGAAGUGAAUGUUGAUGCUGCUGAUGUUUCCAUCAGAGAACGAUGCUGCAGAACAAUCUGAUCAUCAGAUGAUGGGAAUAA
Melanotaenia boesemani (Boeseman's rainbowfish) is the source of this 135-nucleotide long non-coding RNA. RefSeq lists it as uncharacterized. The transcript has 3 exons. The record is from RefSeq and is a predicted model, not a curated record. NCBI's taxonomy places the organism in Eukaryota, Metazoa, Chordata, Actinopteri, Atheriniformes, Melanotaeniidae.